RNAcentral lists this ribosomal RNA (254 nucleotides) under uncultured bacterium. RNAcentral's name for it is "partial 16S ribosomal RNA". It matches the Rfam family "Bacterial small subunit ribosomal RNA", at positions 524 to 776 of the family's 1533-position model. The record is from RNAcentral.
UACGAAGGGUGCUAGCGUUGUUCGGAAUUACUGGGCGUAAAGGGCGCGUAGGCGGCCAGCGCAAGUCAGUUGUGAAAUCUCCGGGCUUAACUCGGAACGGUCAACUGAUACUGCGCGGCUAGAGUGCAGAAGGGGCAACUGGAAUUCUCGGUGUAGCGGUGAAAUGCGUAGAUAUCGAGAGGAACACCUGCGGCGAAGGCGGGUUGCUGGGCUGACACUGACGCUGAUGCGCGAAAGCCAGGGGAGCGAACAGG